AACUCGGCAAAAUGACCCCGUAACUUCGGGAGAAGGGGUGCUCUUUAGGGUUAACGCCCAGAAGAGCCGCAGUGAAUAGGCCCAAGCGACUGUUUAUCAAAAACACAGGUCUCUGCUAAACCGUAAGGUGAUGUAUAGGGGCUGACGCCUGCCCGGUGCUGGAAGGUUAAGAGGAGUGGUUAGCUUCUGCGAAGCUACGAAUCGAAGCCCCAGUAAACGGCGGCCGUAACUAUAACGGUCCUAAGGUAGCGAAAUUCCUUGUCGGGUAAGUUCCGACCCGCACGAAAGGCGUAACGAUUUGGGCACUGUCUCAACGAGAGACUCGGUGAAAUCAUAGUACCUGUG
This 345-nucleotide ribosomal RNA is filed under the name Staphylococcus aureus. RNAcentral describes it as "partial 23S ribosomal RNA". It matches the Rfam family "Bacterial large subunit ribosomal RNA", at positions 1711 to 2055 of the family's 2925-position model. The record is from RNAcentral. Lineage: Bacteria; Bacillati; Bacillota; Bacilli; Caryophanales; Staphylococcaceae.